AGUGAACGCUGGCGGCAGGCCUUACACAUGCAAGUCGAACGGCAGCACGGGUGCUUGCACCUGGUGGCGAGUGGCGAACGGGUGAGUAAUGCCUGGGAAAUUGCCCAGUCGAGGGGGAUAACAGUUGGAAACGACUGCUAAUACCGCAUACGCCCUACGGGGAAAGCAGGGGACCUUCGGGCCUUGCGCGAUUGGAUAUGCCCAGGUGGGAUUAGCUAGUUGGUGAGGUAAUGGCUCACCAAGGCGACGAUCCCUAGCUGGUCUGAGAGGAUGAUCAGCCACACUGGAACUGAGACACGGUCCAGACUCCUACGGGAGGCAGCAGUGGGGAAUAUUGCACAAUGGGGGAAACCCUGAUGCAGCCAUGCCGCGUGUGUGAAGAAGGCCUCGGUUGUAAAGCACUUUCUAGCGAGGAGGAAAGGUACAGUAGCUAAUAUCUGCUGGCUGUGACGUUACUCGCAGAAGAAGCACCGGCUAA
RNAcentral lists this ribosomal RNA (478 nucleotides) under uncultured bacterium. Its description in RNAcentral is "bacterial SSU rRNA". It matches the Rfam family "Bacterial small subunit ribosomal RNA", at positions 29 to 500 of the family's 1533-position model. The record is from RNAcentral.